RNAcentral lists this ribosomal RNA (723 nucleotides) under uncultured Russula. RNAcentral's name for it is "eukaryotic LSU rRNA". The stretch from base 275 to 428 matches the Rfam family "5.8S ribosomal RNA". The record is from RNAcentral. Lineage: Eukaryota; Fungi; Basidiomycota; Agaricomycetes; Russulales; Russulaceae.
UUUAGAGGAAGUAAAAGUCGUAACAAGGUUUCCGUAGGUGAACCUGCGGAAGGAUCAUUAUCGUACAACUGAGACCCAAGGGCUGUCGGCUGACCUUGUUGAAGGUCGUGCACGUCCGAGGUGCUCUCACCCUACAUCCACAUCACCUCUUGUGCAUCAUCGCGUGCGGUUCCCCUUUUUGACUUGUUCUGAGGGGGCUCACGUUUUUCUUACAAACACCCUUUUGAUAUGGCUUAGAAUGUUUCUAUUAAUUGUGAUCAUACGCAAUCAAUACAACUUUCAACAACGGAUCUCUUGGCUCUCGCAUCGAUGAAGAACGCAGCGAAAUGCGAUACGUAAUGUGAAUUGCAGAAUUCAGUGAAUCAUCGAAUCUUUGAACGCACCUUGCGCCCCUUGGCAUUCCGAGGGGCACACCCGUUUGAGUGUCAUGAAAUUGUCAAGCCUUUCUCGGUUUUCAAGAUCGGGAGAAGGCCUUGGACUCUGGAGGUGUUUUGCUGGCUUUGGUGAAAGCCAGCUCCUCUUAAAUGAAUUAGUGGGGUCCCCUUUGAUUGAUCCCUUGACGUGAUAAGACAUUUCUACGUCUUGGGACUCAUUCUGUUUGAUGGGCACCUGCUUCUAACUGUCUUUUUCAAAGACAUCGUUCGAGCUUACUCGACCCAUAUAGACCCUUGACCUCAAAUCGGGUGAGACUACCCGCUGAACUUAAGCAUAUCAAUAAGCGGA